This 1159-nucleotide long non-coding RNA is filed under the name Struthio camelus australis. RNAcentral describes it as "lncRNA (ENSSCUG00000006403.1)". Lineage: Eukaryota; Metazoa; Chordata; Aves; Struthioniformes; Struthionidae. The record is from RNAcentral.
AUGGGUAGUGCUGUGCUCCAGGCUCGGGAGCCAGCGAGCACUGGGCACCCCGGCAGGAUAAAGUCGCCGUGCGCAGGCGCUGCAAGCAUCAGAGAAACACGGAGCUGCUCUCCUGCCGGGCACAAGCCCUGCGUGAGGACCCGCUGGCCCCGCGGAGGGAUGAACCUGCUUUCUCAGCCCAGUGCCAGCCUGCUGCUCCUUUUCUUUACCCUUGUCUUUACAUUCAGACUUCAAACUGACAGGCCCAAGUGGGUGCGAGCGUGGACGCUGGUGUCCGUCCGAGCCGGGCUGCAGGCAGGAGAGCUGCCCGUGAAGUCAGACACCUUACUCAGUAAAAACAAAUGGGCCCAGGAAACACACGGAGCCUGGGAGCCUCCGUCAGGGCAGCUGCAGGCUUGGCUGCAGCUUUCCCCCCUCAACUCUCAGAGCGGUGGAAUUUGGGGGAUUAAUGUUACAUACCACUAGGUGUCCUGGCUCCGUUUCUUUUGAUUGCCGCUUCAAGAAAAAUAUGGAAAAUGCCUCCUGUUCGUCUGUUUUUCUUCCCCACCAUAAACUGUAUGGUCUCCUGGAUGCUCCAGAGCCAGCCAAAUGUACAGCAUGUGGAAAACAACCUUGACGCAGUGACCGCAGAGCACAGGAGUGCUUCACAUAGCUCACUGGUUCAUCCUGCAUGGAGAACCGUUAUGUGGAGUAAAGUGUAAGUGUCAUCCCGUGUACGAUUCUCUCCGGCCUGGAUUGCCAGCUCCAGCUGGUGGCCCGACCGACCACACAUCUCCGCGGUUGCUAGUCACCCUUCUCGGCCAAGAGCGGAGCUAAGAGACUCCACCGCUGCCACCUGCCAACUCCCCAGCAUUGGAUGUACUUCAGAUGCACAGGCUACAGAGUCUGCUAUGUACUUGUUUCGUUACGCGAGUCAUUGGUCAGACCCCCUCCGUGCCCAGUUUGGUAGGAACGGUACAAAAGCGGCCCAGUCCAGUCAGGCCGACGUCCAGGCAUUAGCAUCUAUCACUUACCUGGUGGAAGGGCUCCGAUGGAAGAAGGGCAGAUCUGUAGGAGCUACAAUAUGGAUAAACAGGGUUUCAAUAGUCUCCACCUAACACUAGACAAUUGGAGUUUGUCUCUUUUUUGGUUUUUAAAUAAAUAAAUAAAUGAGAAGUCA